UCCGGUUUAACACCGGCGGUCUCCCUAGAGUGCCCAACUAAAUGGUGGCAACUAGGGACAAGGGUUGCGCUCGUUAAGGGACUUAACCCGACAUCUCACGAUACGAGCUGACGACAGCCAUGCAGCACCUGUCUCACUGCCCCCGAAGGGGAAGUCCUAUCUCUAGGAUUGUCAGUGGAUGUCAAACCCAGGUAAGGUUCUUCGCGUUGCAUCGAAUUAAACCACAUGCUCCACCGCUUGUGCGGGCCCCCGUCAAUUCCUUUGAGUUUUAACCUUGCGGCCGUACUUCCCAGGCGGGGUACUUAAUGCGUUAGCUUCGGCACUGCAGGGGUCAAUUCCCGCAACACCUAGUACCCAUCGUUUACGGCGUGGACUAC
RNAcentral lists this unclassified non-coding RNA (377 nucleotides) under uncultured Oligoflexales bacterium. RNAcentral describes it as "contains 16S-23S intergenic spacer region". Lineage: Bacteria; Pseudomonadati; Bdellovibrionota; Oligoflexia; Oligoflexales. The record is from RNAcentral.